GACGAACGCUGGCGGCGUGCUUAACACAUGCAAGUCGAACGGAAAGGCCCUGCUUUUGUGGGGUGCUCGAGUGGCGAACGGGUGAGUAACACGUGAGUAACCUGCCCUUGACUUUGGGAUAACUUCAGGAAACUGGGGCUAAUACCGGAUAGGAGCUCCUGCUGCAUGGUGGGGGUUGGAAAGUUUCGGCGGUUGGGGAUGGACUCGCGGCUUAUCAGCUUGUUGGUGGGGUAGUGGCUUACCAAGGCUUUGACGGGUAGCCGGCCUGAGAGGGUGACCGGCCACAUUGGGACUGAGAUGCGGCCCGGACUCCUACGGGAGGCAGCAGUGGGGAAUAUUGCACAAUGGGCGGAAGCCUGAUGCAGCAACGCCGCGUGCGGGAUGACGGCCUUCGGGUUGUAAACCGCUUUCGCCUGUGAUGAAGCGUGAGUGACGGUAAUGGGUAAAGAAGCACCGGCUAACUACGUG
This 468-nucleotide ribosomal RNA is filed under the name uncultured bacterium. RNAcentral's name for it is "partial 16S ribosomal RNA". It matches the Rfam family "Bacterial small subunit ribosomal RNA", at positions 28 to 507 of the family's 1533-position model. The record is from RNAcentral.